Sorex fumeus (smoky shrew) is the source of this 107-nucleotide small nuclear RNA. The record is from RefSeq and is a predicted model, not a curated record. NCBI's taxonomy places the organism in Eukaryota, Metazoa, Chordata, Mammalia, Eulipotyphla, Soricidae.
AUGCUCACUUUGGCGGCACAUUGAUUAAAAUUGUAACAAUACAGAGAUGAUUAACCUGGUCCCUGUGCUUGGAUGACAUACAAAUUCAUGAAACAUUUCAUAGCUGU